Molecule: ribosomal RNA, 253 nt
Filed under: uncultured bacterium
Lineage: Bacteria
Description: partial 16S ribosomal RNA
Rfam family: Bacterial small subunit ribosomal RNA
Source: RNAcentral
UACGUAGGGUGCGAGCGUUGUUCGGAUUCCUUGGGCGUAAAGGGUGUGUAGGUGGCGCCGUAAGUCGGGUGUGAAAUUUCGAGGCUUAACCUCGAAACUGCAUUCGAUACUGCGGUGCUUGAGGACUGGAGAGGAGACUGGAAUUCAUGGUGUAGCAGUGAAAUGCGUAGAGAUCAUGAGGAAGACCAGUGGCGAAGGCGGGUCUCUGGACAGUUCCUGACACUGAGACACGAAGGCCAGGGGAGCAAACGGG